CGUAGGUGGCAAGCGUUAUCCGGAAUUAUUGGGGCGUAAAGCGCGCGUAGGCGGUUUUUUAAGUACUGAUGUGAAAGACCCACCGGCUCAACCGUAGGAGGGUCGAUUGGAAAACGUAGGAAAACUUAGAGUGCAGAAGAAGGAAAGUAGGAAUUACCUAUGUGUAGCGGUGAAAUAGCGCAGAGAUAUGGAGGAACACCAGUGGCGAAGGCGACUUUCUGGUCUGUAACUGACGCUGAUGUGCGAAAGACGUGGGGGAGUACAAACAGGAUU
This 273-nucleotide ribosomal RNA is filed under the name uncultured bacterium. Its description in RNAcentral is "partial 16S ribosomal RNA". It matches the Rfam family "Bacterial small subunit ribosomal RNA", at positions 526 to 779 of the family's 1533-position model. The record is from RNAcentral.